Molecule: ribosomal RNA, 534 nt
Filed under: Alternaria alternata
Lineage: Eukaryota; Fungi; Ascomycota; Dothideomycetes; Pleosporales; Pleosporaceae
Description: eukaryotic LSU rRNA
Rfam family: 5.8S ribosomal RNA (bases 175-328)
Source: RNAcentral
GGAUCAUUACACAAAUAUGAAGGCGGGCUGGAACCUCUCGGGGUUACAGCCUUGCUGAAUUAUUCACCCUUGUCUUUUGCGUACUUCUUGUUUCCUUGGUGGGUUCGCCCACCACUAGGACAAACAUAAACCUUUUGUAAUUGCAAUCAGCGUCAGUAACAAAUUAAUAAUUACAACUUUCAACAACGGAUCUCUUGGUUCUGGCAUCGAUGAAGAACGCAGCGAAAUGCGAUAAGUAGUGUGAAUUGCAGAAUUCAGUGAAUCAUCGAAUCUUUGAACGCACAUUGCGCCCUUUGGUAUUCCAAAGGGCAUGCCUGUUCGAGCGUCAUUUGUACCCUCAAGCUUUGCUUGGUGUUGGGCGUCUUGUCUCUAGCUUUGCUGGAGACUCGCCUUAAAGUAAUUGGCAGCCGGCCUACUGGUUUCGGAGCGCAGCACAAGUCGCACUCUCUAUCAGCAAAGGUCUAGCAUCCAUUAAGCCUUUUUUCAACUUUUGACCUCGGAUCAGGUAGGGAUACCCGCUGAACUUAAGCAUAU